Molecule: signal recognition particle RNA, 296 nt
Filed under: Microcebus murinus (gray mouse lemur)
Lineage: Eukaryota; Metazoa; Chordata; Mammalia; Primates; Cheirogaleidae
Description: Metazoan signal recognition particle RNA (ENSMICG00000031399.2)
Rfam family: Metazoan signal recognition particle RNA
About the family: The signal recognition particle (SRP) is a universally conserved ribonucleoprotein. It is involved in the co-translational targeting of proteins to membranes.
Source: RNAcentral
GCUGGGUGCAGUGGGGUGCACCUGUAGUCUCAGCUAUUCAGCAGGCUGAGGCGGAGGAUCGCUUGGGCCCAGGAGCUCUGGGCUGUAGUGCGCUGUGCCAAUUGGGGUCUUCGCCAAGGCUGGAGGUCACACAUGGUGACCUCCAGGAAGCAGGGACUGCAGGUUGCCUACGGAGAGGGAAACCAGCCCCGGUCAGAAAGGGAGUGGUUCAAAAUCCCCAUGCCAAUCAGUAGUGGUAUUGCCCCUGUGAAUACCGCUGUACUCCAGUCUGGGAAACAUAGUGAGACCUCAUUUCU